Molecule: ribosomal RNA, 457 nt
Filed under: Acricoactis brachyacontis
Lineage: Eukaryota; Metazoa; Cnidaria; Anthozoa; Actiniaria; Acricoactinidae
Description: partial 16S ribosomal RNA
Rfam family: Bacterial large subunit ribosomal RNA
Source: RNAcentral
GUAAUGUAGCGUAAUCAAUAGCCAAUUAAUUGUUGGCCGGUAUGAAUGGCAUCACGAAGGCCCCGCUGUCUUAAGAGGACUCUCCAUGAAAUUGAAUUCGUAGUGAAGAUGCUACGUCCAUAUUGUAAGACGAAAAGACCCCAUUGAGCUUUACUAAAGACUUGUAUGGCUCGAAAUAACUUAAAUAAAAAGUUUAGAUAAUGUGGGAUCCGUUUUUGGUUAAUGAAACACCACUCUUUUAUUUUAAGAGAGCUAACCUUGUAGGGAGAAUGCAAGUUGGAUAGUUUGGUUGGGGCGACCACCUUUUAAAAGGUAACGAAGGUGAGCUUAAGGUCCGUAGUUAAUAGCUAGUGGCCUGACUGCAAGGGGGACAUCCCGAGCAGACACUGGUAAUCUCUCAGUGGGUUAUAGUGACCCGUCAUCUUAGAGUGGAAUAGUUGACGAUCAACGAAUAAAA